Molecule: ribosomal RNA, 490 nt
Filed under: uncultured bacterium
Lineage: Bacteria
Description: bacterial SSU rRNA
Rfam family: Bacterial small subunit ribosomal RNA
Source: RNAcentral
GAUGAACGCUGGCGGUAUGCUUAACACAUGCAAGUCGAACGAAAUACGAUGGGGUUUACUCUAUCGUAUGGCAGUGGCGGACGGGUGCGUAACGCGUGGGCGACCUACCUUCGAGUGGGGGAUAACCUUCCGAAAGGAGGGCUAAUACCGCAUGACAUCCCGUGUUUGGAUACACGGACAUCAAAGCCGGGGAUCGCAAGACCUGGCGCUUGGAGAGGGGCCCGCGUCCGAUUAGCUAGUUGGUGAGGUAACGGCUCACCAAGGCAACGAUCGGUAUCCGGCCUGAGAGGGCGGACGGACACACUGGGACUGAGACACGGCCCAGACUCCUACGGGAGGCAGCAGUGGGGAAUUGUUCGCAAUGGGCGCAAGCCUGACGACGCAACGCCGCGUGGAGGAUGAAGAUCUUCGGGUCGGUAAACUCCUUUCGACCGAGAUGAAUUCCUGCCGGCCUAACAUGCCGGCAGGGUGACAGUAUCGGGAGAAGCAG